RNAcentral lists this ribosomal RNA (443 nucleotides) under uncultured bacterium. Its description in RNAcentral is "SSU rRNA". It matches the Rfam family "Bacterial small subunit ribosomal RNA", at positions 26 to 518 of the family's 1533-position model. The record is from RNAcentral.
AGAGCGAACGCUGGCGGCAGGCCUAAUACAUGCAAGUCGAGCGCACCUUCGGGUGAGCGGCGGACGGGUGAGUAACGCGUGGGAAUAUGCCCUUUGGUACGGAACAACUGAGGGAAACUUCAGCUAAUACCGUAUGUGCCCUUCGGGGGAAAGAUUUAUCGCCAUUGGAGUAGCCCGCGUUGGAUUAGGUAGUUGGUGAGGUAAAGGCUCACCAAGCCUACGAUCCAUAGCUGGUCUGAGAGGAUGAUCAGCCACACUGGGACUGAGACACGGCCCAGACUCCUACGGGAGGCAGCAGUGGGGAAUAUUGGACAAUGGGCGCAAGCCUGAUCCAGCAAUGCCGCGUGAGUGAUGAAGGCCUUAGGGUUGUAAAGCUCUUUCGCCCGCGACGAUGAUGACGGUAGCGGGAGAAGAAGCCCGGCUAACUUCGCGCCAGCAGCCGC